GGUAAGUUUCGGUUGGGUAUAUUUUGACCUUCUUUCGAAACCUGUCCCCGCUGUCCCCGCUGUGAAUAUGUGGACGAGAAAACAGGAAAGAAUGUGAGAAUUCCUUCAUUCGGCUACUGACGGAAAAGGCCGAAACACUGAAUGGGGAUUCCCCUUAUUCCGAGCAUUCAUUUUCCGAAGAAAGAGUUCGAUUGUUAUUACACAUUUCAGACAUUGUGACAUCUCUAGGACACAAUGCCAAAGACGAACCCAGGAGACUCUCAGAAAGGCAAGAACCGGGUUUCCUCCAGACAAGACACAGAUUCUCAAGAUGUUCAAGUGCUGGAAUCGAACCCAGGAGUGACGUCAGUCUCUAUAGGACGUUUGACUGAAAGUAUAACGUCACCAGUACUGCGGUCCCUAGUGACACCAGGUACUCCAAGUCUGGCCACUCCAAACACGUGUGUUGCCAGACAGGGAUCUGCACAACUAUGCAGCGCAAAUCCAGAUACUGCAAAUAUAGUUGAUGCAAACCAAGGCCAUUCAAAUCCAGAUACUGCAAACCAAGGCAUUGGAAGCUCAGAUACUGCAAAUAUAGGUACUGCAAUCUCAGGCACUUCAUAUAUGUCAGGAUUAGAAAAUGGUAAGUUUUCAAAGUAAUUUCUUUGUGGAGUUUAGGGGCAGUUUGUUACUCAUCCUGUUCCACAAAGGAACAGAAGUUAAUGAAGGAAACUAGUCAUUAGGAGUAGAGAGCAAGUAGAUUUUGAAUAAUAGAUUGUAGGAGGAAAGAGGUAAUCCUCGUUAAAAGAAGACCAAGUACAUGUUUCAGAUCAAGGGCAAGGUCAACAGACGAGGAGGAAAGACCUGCUAGUUACCUCUGUCUUUUGAAAAAUGAAAAUUUUAUUAUAAUAUAUAACUCAUUUUGUUUAUUUUUUAGGUUGUUGUUUUUUGUUUGUUUUUUGUUUUUGAUUUUUAGUAGUGGUGAUGAAGGUCUAGUUCAGCU
Molecule: long non-coding RNA, 982 nt
Organism: Gigantopelta aegis
Lineage: Eukaryota; Metazoa; Mollusca; Gastropoda; Neomphalida; Peltospiridae
Exons: 3
Source: RefSeq, a predicted model, not a curated record